UUUCAAUUGCCUCAUGAUCAUCAGCUCCUUUUUGCUGGUCACUCAGUACCAUGUCUAUGAUUAUCACCUUCCCUCCAUUUUCCUUGCUAGGAAUUGCUUCUUUGCAUUUCCUAAGUAUUUGUAUACAUUCCUCAUCAUUCCAAUCGUGCAAUAUCCACUGUUUAAAUUAACAUUCAUAUCACAAAGAAUUCAAAUCAGUCAGGAACACUAUGUUAAAGUUAUUAAAGAAAAUUGAAAUUGAUAAGAGGUACAGAAGCC
RNAcentral lists this long non-coding RNA (258 nucleotides) under Coffea arabica (coffee). RNAcentral's name for it is "long non-coding RNA (CARA_LNC003561)". The record is from RNAcentral. Lineage: Eukaryota; Viridiplantae; Streptophyta; Magnoliopsida; Gentianales; Rubiaceae.